This 465-nucleotide ribosomal RNA is filed under the name Vreelandella stevensii. RNAcentral describes it as "partial 16S ribosomal RNA". It matches the Rfam family "Bacterial small subunit ribosomal RNA", at positions 338 to 795 of the family's 1533-position model. Lineage: Bacteria; Pseudomonadati; Pseudomonadota; Gammaproteobacteria; Oceanospirillales; Halomonadaceae. The record is from RNAcentral.
CCUACGGGCGGCAGCAGUGGGGAAUAUUGGACAAUGGGGGGAACCCUGAUCCAGCCAUGCCGCGUGUGUGAAGAAGGCCCUCGGGUUGUAAAGCACUUUCAGUGAGGAAGAACGCCUGGUGGUUAAUACCCAUCAGGAAAGACAUCACUCACAGAAGAAGCACCGGCUAACUCCGUGCCAGCAGCCGCGGUAAUACGGAGGGUGCGAGCGUUAAUCGGAAUUACUGGGCGUAAAGCGCGCGUAGGUGGCUUGAUAAGCCGGUUGUGAAAGCCCCGGGCUCAACCUGGGAACGGCAUCCGGAACUGUCAAGCUAGAGUGCAGGAGAGGAAGGUAGAAUUCCCGGUGUAGCGGUGAAAUGCGUAGAGAUUGGGAGGAAUACCAGUGGCGAAGGCGGCCUUCUGGACUGACACUGACACUGAGGUGCGAAAGCGUGGGUAGCAAACAGGAUUAGAUACCCUGGUAGUC